Long non-coding RNA from Hypanus sabinus (Atlantic stingray), 876 nucleotides. RefSeq lists it as uncharacterized. The transcript has 3 exons. The record is from RefSeq and is a predicted model, not a curated record. NCBI's taxonomy places the organism in Eukaryota, Metazoa, Chordata, Chondrichthyes, Myliobatiformes, Dasyatidae.
GAAAGCAGUGGUCUGAUUACAAGUUUUCAUAGGCAAUGUAUCUGAGAAAACAUCUGAUAUGUUAAUCAGGCAGUUACUUGUGAAAUGUGGCUUGGUUUUAAACUGGAAGAGAAUCAACAAGCUUCAGGAAAGUUACUAUACUAGACUCCAAUAACUACAGGGACAGCAGACCUAUUGCAUCAGUGAGCUGCUCGGUGUUCAGAGUAGCCAGCCAGGGUGUCAGAGGGGCUGGCCUGUGGUUUAGAGAAGGGGCGACUAUCCACUGGGCCACAGGAGGAGCCAGACUGGGUUUGGAGACUGUGCUUCUGCCUGCCACUCGAGGGCACUGGAGUUGGUGUGCAAAGGUGGCGUGCAAUGAAACCGAACUUCAAGUGGGAGACAAAACGCUACUUGUAAAAGUAGAUGUAAAGACCAAAGUCCAACUGGAUGAAUGGAAGGCCGAAAAGAAAAGAGUGAAUGGAGAUAGAAAAACAGGAUUUGUCAGAUGGUGUUGUGGAUGAGGAAACUAAAAGGAGAGAUCAGUUUGUAAAAGUAGCAUUAAUAAGAAAACACUCCAGUGAACUAAUUGCAUUUUCCCAAGAUCAAGAUGCACAAAACAAUAAUAAAAAGAAAGGAAGAGAAGGAGAGAGGGAACAUGAGAAAGAAAAAGAAAGGGAUUGAAGUAGACCUAGACAGGGAAAAGGAGAAGAAAGUUGUCCAGAGCUGUUAGAACUACUACCUGCACCCUUUCAGAUUCAACACCUACAACCACCAUGGAGGAGGCAUCAGAACCUGGGAUUGUUUCAAGUCUCACCUGCCAAGCAGAGGGGUCUCCCUCGUCAGGAAUUACAUUAUCUCUCAAGAGCAAGAAAUCCUCCACAGUGAUUAAAUACUUAA